AUUGAACGCUGGCGGCAUGCCUUACACAUGCAAGUCGAACGGUAACAGGUUAAGCUGCCGAGUGGCGAACGGGUGAGUAAUGUAUCGGAACGUGCCCAGUCGUGGGGGAUAACUGCUCGAAAGAGCAGCUAAUACCGCAUACGACCUGAGGGUGAAAGCGGGGGAUCGCAAGACCUCGCGCGAUUGGAGCGGCCGAUACCAGAUUAGGUAGUUGGUGAGGUAAAGGCUCACCAAGCCGACGAUCUGUAGCUGGUCUGAGAGGACGACCAGCCACACUGGGACUGAGACACGGCCCAGACUCCUACGGGAGGCAGCAGUGGGGAAUUUUGGACAAUGGGCGCAAGCCUGAUCCAGCCAUGCCGCGUGCGGGAAGAAGGCCUUCGGGUUGUAAACCGCUUUUGUCAGGGAAGAAAAGGUUCUGGCUAAUACCUGGGACUCAUGACGGUACCUGAAGAAUAAGCACCGGCUAACUACGUG
Molecule: ribosomal RNA, 477 nt
Filed under: uncultured bacterium
Lineage: Bacteria
Description: partial 16S ribosomal RNA
Rfam family: Bacterial small subunit ribosomal RNA
Source: RNAcentral